UGAGGAAUAUUGGUCAAUGGGCGCAAGCCUGAACCAGCCAUCCCGCGUGCAGGAUGACGGCCCUAUGGGUUGUAAACUGCUUUUAUUUGCCAAGAAUGGUUACUACGUG
RNAcentral lists this ribosomal RNA (109 nucleotides) under uncultured bacterium. RNAcentral's name for it is "partial 16S ribosomal RNA". It matches the Rfam family "Bacterial small subunit ribosomal RNA", at positions 355 to 462 of the family's 1533-position model. The record is from RNAcentral.